Molecule: ribosomal RNA, 468 nt
Filed under: uncultured bacterium
Lineage: Bacteria
Description: partial 16S ribosomal RNA
Rfam family: Bacterial small subunit ribosomal RNA
Source: RNAcentral
GAUGAACGCUGGCGGCGUGCUUAACACAUGCAAGUCGAACGGUGAACACGGAGCUUGCUCUGUGGGAUCAGUGGCGAACGGGUGAGUAACACGUGAGCAACCUGCCCCUGACUCUGGGAUAAGCGCUGGAAACGGCGUCUAAUACUGGAUAUGUGACGUGACCGCAUGGUCUGCGUUUGGAAAGAUUUUUCGGUUGGGGAUGGGCUCGCGGCCUAUCAGCUUGUUGGUGAGGUAAUGGCUCACCAAGGCGUCGACGGGUAGCCGGCCUGAGAGGGUGACCGGCCACACGGGGACGGAGACACGGCCCAGACCCCUACGGGGGGCAGCAGGGGGGAAUAUUGAAAAAGGGGCGAAAGCCUGAGGAAGCAACGCCGGGGGGGGGAUGACGGCCUUGGGGUGUUAAACCUUUUUUAGGAGGGAAGAAGCGAAAGUGACGGUCCUGGCAGAAAAAGCGCCGGCUAACUACGU